UGACCCAUGGAUCAUUCAGGUCGAGUCGGAUCCUUGUAUGGCCCAGUCCUAACCUAAAAAAUUUGGGUUCAGAUCAAGUCUGAGUUGGAUCCCUGUACUUGUUAUUUCUUAUAUUUAAUUUUUUUUAAUCCUAUUUCAAGGUUAACUUGGCUUGGUUUUGGGUGGUGGUGGACAGUGAAGUGAGAAAGAAACAUAGAAGGAAGAGUUGUACGGUGAAGAAAAGGGGUAGGGUGUUGCAUUUGAGAGGGCCAGGUAGAGAUGUAUCUAGGGUCGUCUUUCCAAGACUUUAGCUUUGCAGU
This 299-nucleotide long non-coding RNA is filed under the name Phoenix dactylifera (date palm). RNAcentral describes it as "long non-coding RNA (PDAC_LNC003382)". Lineage: Eukaryota; Viridiplantae; Streptophyta; Magnoliopsida; Arecales; Arecaceae. The record is from RNAcentral.